This 125-nucleotide small RNA is filed under the name Marmota monax (woodchuck). The record is from RNAcentral. Lineage: Eukaryota; Metazoa; Chordata; Mammalia; Rodentia; Sciuridae.
GCCGGGUACAGUGGUGCAUGCCUGUAAUCCCAGCAGCUCUGGAGGCUGAGACAGGAGGAUCAUGAGUUCAAAGCCAGCUUCAGCAAAAAUGAGGUGCCAAGCAACUCAGUGAGACCCUGUCUCGA